AGCAUUGAAACAUCAGUUCCGGUAUGAUCAUCACAGUUAAGCAACAUCAAGCCAGGACAGUACCUAGAUAGGUGACUGCUUGGGAAUACCACGUGCUGUAAG
This is a non-coding RNA of Acanthosepion pharaonis, 102 nucleotides long. The record is from the annotation of a GenBank genome assembly. NCBI's taxonomy places the organism in Eukaryota, Metazoa, Mollusca, Cephalopoda, Sepiida, Sepiidae.